AAUGAACGCUGGCGGCAUGCCUUACACAUGCAAGUCGAACGGCAGCAUGACCUAGCUUGCUAGGUUGAUGGCGAGUGGCGAACGGGUGAGUAAUGCAUCGGAACGUGCCUUUUAGUGGGGGAUAACGUAGCGAAAGUUACGCUAAUACCGCAUAUUCUCUGAGGAGGAAAGCAGGGGACCUUCGGGCCUUGCGCUAGAAGAGCGGCCGAUGUCGGAUUAGCUAGUUGGUGAGGUAAAGGCUCACCAAGGCAACGAUCCGUAGCGGGUCUGAGAGGAUGAUCCGCCACACUGGGACUGGGACAAGGCCCAGACUCCUACGGGAGGCAGCAGUGGGGAAUUUUGGACAAAGGGCGCAAGCCUGAUCCAGCCAUGCCGCGUGAGUGAAGAAGGCCUUCGGGUUGUAAAGCUCUUUCGGCUGGGAAGAAAUCGCACCCUCUAAUACAGGGUGUGGAUGACGGUACCAGCAUAAGAAGCACCGGCUAACUACGUG
RNAcentral lists this ribosomal RNA (490 nucleotides) under uncultured bacterium. RNAcentral's name for it is "partial 16S ribosomal RNA". It matches the Rfam family "Bacterial small subunit ribosomal RNA", at positions 29 to 507 of the family's 1533-position model. The record is from RNAcentral.